Molecule: ribosomal RNA, 497 nt
Filed under: uncultured bacterium
Lineage: Bacteria
Description: partial 16S ribosomal RNA
Rfam family: Bacterial small subunit ribosomal RNA
Source: RNAcentral
GAUGAACGCUGGCGGCGUGCCUAAUACAUGCAAGUCGAGCGAACGGACGAGAAGCUUGCUUCUCUGAUGUUAGCGGCGGACGGGUGAGUAACACGUGGAUAACCUACCUAUAAGACUGGGAUAACUUCGGGAAACCGGAGCUAAUACCGGAUGAUAUUUUGAACCGCAUGGUUCAAAAGUGAAAGACGGUCUUGCUGUCACUUAUAGAUGGAUCCGCGCUGCAUUAGCUAGUUGGUAAGGUAACGGCUUACCAAGGCAACGAUGCAUAGCCGACCUGAGAGGGGGAACGGCCACACCGGAAAUGAGACAAGGGCCAGAAUCCCAAGGGAGGCAGCAGGAGGGAAACUUUCGGAAUGGGCGAAAGCCUGACGGAGCAACGCCGCGUGAGUGAUGAAGGUCUUCGGAUCGUAAAACUCUGUUAUUAGGGAAGAACAUAUGUGUAAGUAACUGUGCACAUCUUGACGGUACCUAAUCAGAAAGCCACGGCUAACUACGUG